This 40-nucleotide small RNA is filed under the name Arabidopsis thaliana (thale cress). Its description in RNAcentral is "ATSL071130". The record is from RNAcentral. Lineage: Eukaryota; Viridiplantae; Streptophyta; Magnoliopsida; Brassicales; Brassicaceae.
UUGAUCAAUGUGUUCUUUAUGCCUUCGACGAUGGUUGAGG